CCUGAGGACCCUAGGAGACUCCCGGGAGAUGAAGGAGAGUUGGUUGGCUGAGCUUCAGAAACAGUUUGAUCCUUGGGGUUUAAGACAGACAUCAGCAGAGCAGGGUCAGCCACAGGAAAGCAGGAAGGGAAAGUGCAAAAUGGGACGAGAGCAACAGGGGUGACCCCAAAACUGUGGUUCUCAACUUGUUUCCACCUGAGUGACAACAUUGGGACAGGGACCCUCUAUUAUGUGGUGGGUGUCCGAGAGUUUGAGGACCACUGAUCUGGACCAGAACAUGGUGGCCAGAGGACGCAGAGAGAAAGUUUAAAAGAAACACUGGCAUGGAACAGAAGAGACAGUGCUAGAAACUAACUUGGUUCCGUGAAUUUAGGCCUUUGUUUUUCAAGUUCACAAGACCAUUUCCUGAGGGACUAGACAAAAUCGAUAUAAAGUUGCUGUGACACUGAAGGAAAGGAAGAGAGAAAGAACCGAAAGUCCUGCUUAAAUAAACUCAAGGGAAGCCAAUGGGGUAACUUUCGUGAUGACAUACUCCUGCAAAGAUGGCGUGGGACAUAAUUCUCAUGGAUGGAGGUGAACAUGACUGUCCCUUGAUACAAGGGGUAGAAUUGAUUGGGUUGCUGUUGUCCUUUGAGAAUCACCACCCGACUCUAUGUGGCUGUUUCUUCAAUUGCAAAAUGAGAGAGCAUGUUUCCUUUUUAAUCAGCAAUAUUACCCUUAAGGAAACCUUGAAGGGCAGUUCUAUUAUUAAAUAUCUCAAGCACA
RNAcentral lists this long non-coding RNA (765 nucleotides) under Homo sapiens (human). Its description in RNAcentral is "HSALNT0240129". The record is from RNAcentral. Lineage: Eukaryota; Metazoa; Chordata; Mammalia; Primates; Hominidae.